UACGGAGGGUGCAAGCGUUGCUCGGAAUUAUUGGGCGUAAAGGGUAGGUAGGUGGUCUCAUUUGUCUGGGGUGAAAGCCUUGAGCUUAACUCAAGAAGUGCCUCGGAAACGGUGAGACUAGAGUCCUGGAGAGGGUCGUGGAAUUCCCGGUGUAGCGGUGAAAUGCGUAGAGAUCGGGAGGAACACCAGAGGCGAAGGCGGCGACCUGGACAGGCACUGACACUCAACUACGAAAGCGUGGGGAGCAAACAGG
RNAcentral lists this ribosomal RNA (253 nucleotides) under uncultured bacterium. RNAcentral describes it as "partial 16S ribosomal RNA". It matches the Rfam family "Bacterial small subunit ribosomal RNA", at positions 524 to 776 of the family's 1533-position model. The record is from RNAcentral.